Molecule: ribosomal RNA, 465 nt
Filed under: uncultured bacterium
Lineage: Bacteria
Description: partial 16S ribosomal RNA
Rfam family: Bacterial small subunit ribosomal RNA
Source: RNAcentral
CCUACGGGUGGCAGCAGUAGGGAAUCUUCCGCAAUGGGCGAAAGCCUGACGGAGCAACGCCGCGUGAGUGAUGAAGGUCUUCGGAUCGUAAAACUCUGUUGUUAGGGAAGAACAAAUUUGUUAGUAACUGAACAAGUCUUGACGGUACCUAACCAGAAAGCCACGGCUAACUACGUGCCAGCAGCCGCGGUAAUACGUAGGUGGCAAGCGUUAUCCGGAAUUAUUGGGCGUAAAGCGCGCGUAGGCGGUUUCUUAAGUCUGAUGUGAAAGCCCACGGCUCAACCGUGGAGGGUCAUUGGAAACUGGGAAACUUGAGUGCAGAAGAGGAGAGUGGAAUUCCAUGUGUAGCGGUGAAAUGCGCAGAGAUAUGGAGGAACACCAGUGGCGAAGGCGGCUCUCUGGUCUGUAACUGACGCUGAUGUGCGAAAGCGUGGGGAUCAAACAGGAUUAGAUACCCUAGUAGUC